ACGGCGAGUGAAGCGGCAAAAGCUCAAAUUUGAAAUCUGCGUAAGCCGAGUUGUAAUUUGAAGAUGGCUACUUUGGUAAUGGCUCUUGUCUAUGUUCCUUGGAACAGGACGUCACAGAGGGUGAGAAUCCCGUGCGAUGAGAUGUCCAUUACCGUGUAAAGUGCUUUCGAAGAGUCGAGUUGUUUGGGAAUGCAGCUCUAAGUGGGUGGUAAAUUCCAUCUAAAGCUAAAUAUUGGCGAGAGACCGAUAGCGAACAAGUACAGUGAUGGAAAGAUGAAAAGAACUUUGAAAAGAGAGUGAAAAAGUACGUGAAAUUGUUGAAAGGGAAGGGCUUGAGAUCAGACUUGGUAUUUUGUAUGGCUUGCUUUCGGGCGGGUCCUCUGCAGUUUACUGGGCCAGCAUCGGUUUGGGUGGCAGGAUAAUAGCAUAGGAAUGUGGCUCUACUUCGGUGGAGUGUUAUAGCCUUUGUUGAUACUGCCUGCCU
This 484-nucleotide ribosomal RNA is filed under the name Fermentozyma sake. Its description in RNAcentral is "[Candida] sake partial large subunit ribosomal RNA". It matches the Rfam family "Eukaryotic large subunit ribosomal RNA", at positions 86 to 584 of the family's 3401-position model. The record is from RNAcentral. Lineage: Eukaryota; Fungi; Ascomycota; Pichiomycetes; Serinales; Debaryomycetaceae.